UCCCUUCUGUGGUCACAAGAGGACCCUUACAGUUUACAGGACUACAGGGGAUGAAGGGUUAGAAAGGAUGAUGAUCCAAGGACCCAGUGAGACAAACCGAGAGUGUGAGGUGGUUUACCAGAUGCCUGCUCUGGUGCCUUCCAACAGACACUGCCACAAGAAAGGUGAGGUGUUCCACGUAAACAACAGGAUCGAACUCAGGCCCUUGCACUUGCAAGGCAGGUGUGGCACCACUGAGCUAAAUCCCAGGCCCUUGAAAGUUAUUUAAGAUUUUGAAAAUCCCAAAGAAUCUACUAAAAACUAUUAGAAUUAGAAAAUGAGUUCAGCAAAGUUGAGGGCAUAAGAUCAAUAUAAAAUGAUCAAUUGUGUUUUUUUGUUUGUUUGUUUUGUUUUUUGGUACCGGGGAUCAAACUCGGGACCUUGUGCUUGUGAGGCAGA
RNAcentral lists this long non-coding RNA (438 nucleotides) under Heterocephalus glaber (naked mole-rat). RNAcentral's name for it is "lncRNA (ENSHGLG00000032569.1)". Lineage: Eukaryota; Metazoa; Chordata; Mammalia; Rodentia; Bathyergidae. The record is from RNAcentral.